RNAcentral lists this ribosomal RNA (253 nucleotides) under uncultured bacterium. Its description in RNAcentral is "partial 16S ribosomal RNA". It matches the Rfam family "Bacterial small subunit ribosomal RNA", at positions 524 to 776 of the family's 1533-position model. The record is from RNAcentral.
UACGUAGGGGGCAAGCGUUGUCCGGAAUUAUUGGGCGUAAAGAGCGCGUAGGCGGUCCGAUAAGUCGGCUGUGAAAGUCCAGGGCUCAACCCUGGAAAGCCGGCCGAUACUGUCGGACUAGAGUCCGGAAGAGGCGAGUGGAAUUCCCGGUGUAGCGGUGAAAUGCGCAGAUAUCGGGAGGAAUACCGGUGGCGAAGGCGGCAUUCUGGACCGACAUUGACACUAAAGCGCGAAAGCCAGGGGAGCAAACGGG